RNAcentral lists this ribosomal RNA (440 nucleotides) under uncultured bacterium. RNAcentral's name for it is "partial 16S ribosomal RNA". It matches the Rfam family "Bacterial small subunit ribosomal RNA", at positions 338 to 795 of the family's 1533-position model. The record is from RNAcentral.
CCUACGGGAGGCAGCAGUGGGGAAUAUUGCACAAUGGGGGAAACCCUGAUGCAGCGACGCCGCGUGAGCGAUGAAGUAUUUCGGUAUGUAAAGCUCUAUCAGCAGGGAAGAAGAUGACGGUACCUGACUAAGAAGCCCCGGCCAACUACGUGCCAGCAGCCGCGGGAAUACGUAGGGGGCAAGCGGUAUCCGGAUGUACUGGGUGUAAAGGGAGCGUAGACGGGGAUGCAAGCCAGAUGUGAAAGCCCGGGGCUCAACCCCGGGACUGCAUUUGGAACUGUGUGGCUGGAGUGUCGGAGAGGCAAGCGGAAUUCCUGGUGUAGCGGUGAAAUGCGUAGAUAUUAGGAGGAACACCAGUGGCGAAGGCGGCCUGCUGGACGAUGACUGACGUUGAGGCUCGAAAGCGUGGGGAGCAAACAGGAUUAGAUACCCCGGUAGUC